RNAcentral lists this ribosomal RNA (273 nucleotides) under uncultured bacterium. RNAcentral's name for it is "partial 16S ribosomal RNA". It matches the Rfam family "Bacterial small subunit ribosomal RNA", at positions 524 to 796 of the family's 1533-position model. The record is from RNAcentral.
GACGAACCGUGCGAACGUUGUUCGGAAUCACUGGGCUUAAAGGGCGCGUAGGCGGCCGACCAAGUCAGGGGUGAAAUCCUGCAGCUCAACUGUAGAAGUGCCUUUGAUACUGGCCGGCUCGAGUGAGGUAGGGGUGGGUGGAACUUCUGGUGGAGCGGUGAAAUGCGUUGAUAUCAGAAGGAACGCCGGUGGCGAAAGCGACCCACUGGACCUCUUCUGACGCUGAGGCGCGAAAGCUAGGGGAGCAAACGGGAUUAGAAACCCCCGUAGUCC